GGGGGAAAGCGGGGGACCGUAAGGCCUCGCGCUAUUGGAGCGGCCGAUGUCUGAUUAGCUAGUUGGCGGGGUAAGAGCCCACCAAGGCGACGAUCAGUAGCUGGUCUGAGAGGACGACCAGCCACACUGGGACUGAGACACGGCCCAGACUCCUACGGGAGGCAGCAGUGGGGAAUUUUGGACAAUGGGCGCAAGCCUGAUCCAGCCAUGCCGCGUGCGGGAAGAAGGCCUUCGGGUUGUAAACCGCUUUUGGCAGGAACGAAACGGCGCAAGCCAAUACCUUGCGCUAAUGACGGUACCUGCAGAAUAAGCACCGGCUAACUACGUGCCAGCAGCCGCGGUAAUACGUAGGGUGCGAGCGUUAAUCGGAAUUACUGGGCGUAAAGCGUGCGCAGGCGGAUUGUUAAGCAAGAUGUGAAAUCCCCGGGCUUAACCUGGGAAUGGCAUUUUGAACCGGCAGUCUAGAGUGCGUCAGAGGGGGGUGGAAUUCCACGUGUAGCAGUGAAAUGCGUAGAGAUGUGGAGGAACACCAAUGGCGAAGGCAGCCCCCUGGGAUGACACUGACGCUCAUGUACGAAAGCGUGGGUAGCAAACAGGAUUAGAUACCCUGGUAGUCCACGCCCUAAACGAUGUCAACUGGUUGUUGGGGGAGUGAAAUCCCUUAGUAACGAAGCUAACGCGUGAAGUUGACCGCCUGGGGAGUACGGUCGCAAGAUUAAAACUCAAAGGAAUUGACGGGGACCCGCACAAGCGGUGGAUGAUGUGGAUUAAUUCGAUGCAACGCGAAAAACCUUACCUACCCUUGACAUGUCCGGAAUCCUGCAGAGAUGCGGGAGUGCCCGAAAGGGAAUCGGAACACAGGUGCUGCAUGGCUGUCGUCAGCUCGUGUCGUGAGAUGUUGGGUUAAGUCCCGCAACGAGCGCAACCCUUAUCAUUAGUUGCUACGCAAGGGCACUCUAAUGGGACUGCCGGUGACAAACCGGAGGAAGGUGGGGAUGACGUCAAGUCCUCAUGGCCCUUAUGGGUAGGGCUUCACACGUCAUACAAUGGUCGGUACAGAGGGUUGCCAAGCCGCGAGGUGGAGCCAAUCCC
RNAcentral lists this ribosomal RNA (1092 nucleotides) under uncultured Thiobacillus sp. RNAcentral describes it as "bacterial SSU rRNA". It matches the Rfam family "Bacterial small subunit ribosomal RNA", at positions 198 to 1275 of the family's 1533-position model. Lineage: Bacteria; Pseudomonadati; Pseudomonadota; Betaproteobacteria; Nitrosomonadales; Thiobacillaceae. The record is from RNAcentral.